CUGCUAGAAUGUUUAAUCUGGGCAUACUCUCCCCGAUAGAUUCACAUUCCUACUGUCCCAGCUUGUUUGGAGUGUGGAGUAAGAGGUGGUUUUCCUUACUUUAAAAGCUUUGUAAUUCAGACUCAGAGAGCCAGGACUUUUUCUAUCCAUCUGGACAAACUCAAAGGCCACACCCAAUAUCAUCAGCCAUGUAUGUAGCCUUCUGAUGGGAAAACGACAGAAUAACAUCCACGGGCAUCUGACAGGAGAGGUAUGGCCUGGACAUGCGCCUCGUUCUCCUCUUGGCCUGGUGUGCCCUGGAGAAUGAAAAUGCGCACACCCAAGUUGAUGCUUCGAAGUGACCAGUCAGAUGCUAGCAGUGUAUGGAGCCCAGUGUUUGGCUGAAAGGAGAAGGCAGCAGCCAGAAGCAACCGAAAGGACCAGGAAGGAAACCUGCCCCAGUCUCACGGGCUUCUUUGCUGGCCACACCUGCCAUUCGUUAUAUGGAUACGAUGUGUUUAACACUGACUUAAAAAAGAGCUGUCACACUUCUGAAAACUCUAAGAUAAGCCAAACUCUUUCCUUUAGACCAUAUCCUCCGCCGUGCUGGCCCGGCAAAACAACAUGGCAAAUGGAGCCCGAUGGUGCAGCCAGAGGAACCCUGAGGCUGGAGUUCUGGGGCUCAGGGUGUGAUACUCAGAAAAAUAAUUUGCCUCUCUGCAUUUCAACAUGUGUUCCUAAGUGGAGAGCUAAGCUUUCUGAGACUACACAUAUGCAUGCAAGAGCACUGCAUCUAUCCUCUAGACAGAAGUCUUUAACAUCACUCUGUCAAAGGGUGUUUUAUCUCAGCAAUGAGAGAAAAGUACCCAAGACACAUGGCCUAGAAGAAAAAAUUUUUUCAAGACUCAAGAAGUCUGAGGAUGGAUAAUCCAGAAUGGAUUUUUACUGAAUGAGAAAGCAAUAUUGCAAAUAUUGCUAUUAAUUCAAACACAUGGCACAGGAGUCAUGAAUACCACAUGUUUGUCCAAGGAAUUCCCACCUCGAGCUCUGGCGAUGUCCUCCAAAAAAGUGUGGGUGGAACCGACCCCACAUCGCAGGCCUGGGGGGGACCCCUGCAGCUGACCCGGGGCAGAGCUGCUCAGGCCGGAAGUGGAUAGACACCCAGCUGUGCCCUGAGAGGGGCCGCCAGGAUUCCAGGCAAGGUCUUUAUUGCUGAAACUCUUGCAUAAUGACAUCUUUAUUCAUGUGAAAGCGCAGUGUGGAAUUCCACUGUAUGAAAUUGUUUA
Long non-coding RNA from Heterocephalus glaber (naked mole-rat), 1265 nucleotides. The record is from Ensembl. NCBI's taxonomy places the organism in Eukaryota, Metazoa, Chordata, Mammalia, Rodentia, Bathyergidae.